CCCGGAAACAGGAAUUACAUAGGAUCAUUCAAUUGGGGAUAAAAUACAGCAUGUCUGAAAAAACACGAUGAAAUGCAAAUGCCAUAAGACGCAACUCUGAACGCUCAUGAGCAGAAGGGAAUCGUCAAAAUGUUUUAGAGAGAUGGCUAUGGGACGCUUUCUGCAGCUGAAGGUUAAACACGCUGUUAUUGGUUUUCCCCUAAAUAUGCCAGAUCAUUAGAUCAUUAGCUCCCCCACGGAAGCACCCGCCAUCUGGAGCUGCGAAUAGAGACAUCACUCACGCAGGAAUGCAUGAAAUUGAGGCGCCUGUCUCUCUCUUUCUCCUUCUAUCUGCCGUGCGGAGCAUUUCAUGCACAAGGAGAUUGGAGAGAAGGGACAUUACUCAUGAACUGUUAUUCCUCAUCACAUCAACUCAAGACAGCUCCACCAUUCUCUUACACAACCAUUGCCAGAGGGCUGAGAGGGUGAUUUAAAUCCCCCCUCAAACUCAGACAAACUUGCAGAGAAGUUACAAUGGAUUAUGGAAGAGUUAGCAGGGAAAUCUGGGAAUGUAAUAGGCAGGGUUCAGUGUAAGAUUCUUUCAAACAGCAUUUAUUUCCUUUAUUCUCAUAAUCACUAAUUUCUAAAAUUAAACCCUUUGGGAAGAAUGGAGUGGGUUAACAGACACCCUUGCUACCAGGUCCUGUUAUAUACACUGCACGUCAUAUUUUCUCUUCAUAGUGAGGAGCUAACUGAACGUUAACACUUUCUCACUGAAACAUUCUAACUCACUGGAAAAUGCACAAUCAUUUGGUGCAUUGAAAACGUCUAUAACAGGCCUGGACUGGGAUUCAAAAUAGGACCUGGCAUUUCAAGAACACAGAGGUCCAAACAGUCCCCACCAGCUCAAUGAAUAGAGAAUAGUCUAACUAUGGCAACAGGCCUGGAUAUUAACUAUUAGCAUUUUCAUGCAGCAUCAACUUUAUUUUAUUCUCUACUAAGCUUUAGGCAGGAAAAGGGGUGAAGUGUUGGUCUCUGCCCUUGUCUUCUAUAUAUCCAUAUUCUUGAAGUGCAAGGCUAGAGCCCAAAUGAACACUAUGGGGCUGAUUUACUAACCCACGAAUCCGACCCGAAUUGGAAAAGUUCCGACUUGAAAACGAACAU
Long non-coding RNA from Xenopus tropicalis (tropical clawed frog), 1143 nucleotides. RefSeq lists it as uncharacterized. The record is from RefSeq and is a predicted model, not a curated record. Lineage: Eukaryota; Metazoa; Chordata; Amphibia; Anura; Pipidae. The transcript has 3 exons.